This 1025-nucleotide long non-coding RNA is filed under the name Piliocolobus tephrosceles (Ugandan red Colobus). RNAcentral describes it as "lncRNA (ENSPTEG00000025519.1)". The record is from RNAcentral. Lineage: Eukaryota; Metazoa; Chordata; Mammalia; Primates; Cercopithecidae.
CCUGCCUCAGCCUUCCAAAGUGCUGGGAUUACAGGCAUGAGCCACUGCACCCAGCCAGAGCAUGCCUUUUUUUUUUUCAGCUGUUCUAUAUUACUCAAUAUACUUUUCUAGCCCUAAUGUUUAAUCUGUCACACGAUCACAGACUUUAUAACAUUGAAUUGGUCCCUAGAGAUAAUCUAAUGCAGCCCUUCACUUUGCAGAUGAGGAUACCAGUGCCUAGAAGUGGGUAGGGACAGUCUAACACAAUAAACUGGGACUGGUACCCAGGACUCCUGCGCAGCCUGCUCAGUGCUUUCUCCACCCCACCAGAAGCCUCAGUUCUGAGAGUCUCUUCUUCUCAGCUUGGCUCUUAGUGGAUUUUUCCCCCCUUUUGUGAAUGAAGGCAGUCUUACACAUGACAUUAAAUUUAACUAUUUUCAUCAGGCGAAUCUCCUCCCAUUUUUAUCCGUGUGCAGGCAGCAGACUUUUAUGUAGCAGCAGUGAGUGUGUUUUGUGAUUUUUACAUAAUACUGCUUCAUAUACUCACUUCUAGGAAACAGUAUGUCACUGUACUACUCGAUCAUGGAUGGCUUAGCCAGCUACAUACUACUGGACACUCAAAAUCAACAGACACAUGGAAGUAUAUGCAUAAGGCAAAAAACAAUGAAAAAAAAAGUCUAUGCACAAAACUGUUAUCCAUGGAACCCAUUUAUAUAUUCCUGUUGCCAGACUGUGUUCCUGAAGAGAAUGAACCAACUUUGCCAUUGGCAAUGUGUAAGUGUUCCCUCCCCACAACUAUACCAUCCUUCUUCUUUCUUCCCCCCACCCCAUGGAGUCUUACUCUGUUACCCAGGCUGGAGUGCAGAGGCGCGAUCUCAGCUCACUGCAACAUCCGCCUCCCAGGUUCAAGUGAUUCUCCUGCCUCAGCCUCCCAAGCAUCUGGGAUUACAGGUGCAUACCACCACACCCAGUUAAUUUUUUUGUAUUUUUGUAGAGACAGGGUUUCACCAUGUUGACCAGGCUGGUCUCAAACUCCAGACCUUAAG